Molecule: long non-coding RNA, 1076 nt
Organism: Oncorhynchus tshawytscha (Chinook salmon)
Lineage: Eukaryota; Metazoa; Chordata; Actinopteri; Salmoniformes; Salmonidae
Source: Ensembl
UAAACCCUGCCAAUAGAUGGACUCAGAGAGUGUGUGGGUCUGGAGGUAAACCCUGUCAAUAGAUGGACUCAGAGAGUGUGUGGGUCUGGAGGUAAACCCUGCCAAUAGAUGGACUCAGAGAGUGUGUGGGUCUGGAGGUAAACCCUGCCAAUAGAUGGACUCAGAGAGUGUGUACUCUCUCUACAGAGUGAGAAUCUGUACAGGGCCUCUUCUAUAAUGGUGUGAUUGUCAGUGAGGAUUAUUAUUAUAAAUUGGCCAUCCCCUGACCCCACUCACCUGGGUCGUGUUCAUUAGGCACCAAACGGAAUGAAAAACUAAGGGACAAUCUAUGCUCAGAAACACUACUUUUCCAUUACAAAACAUGUUUUUCUGUUUUCUGUUGCAUGUCCUAAUGAACACAACCCUGUUCGGGACAGGAAGGACCAUCAUCCCUACAGCCCCUCCAUAUCCCAGGCCAGCCCAGGGAGAAAGCUGACUUACAGAGCAGCCAUCACAAGAAAUAUCAAACAAAACUUCAACAUCACAAAAUGUCUCGUCUGAACAUCGAUGACAACAGAACAAACAAAUGACUAACAAAAACUACCAUAACUGUAAUUAUUCUCAAAACGAUGGACAUACCGUAUGGACAAUAAAGUCUGGACAUACCAUAUGAAAAAUAAAGUAUGGACAUACCGUAUGAAAAAUAAAGUAUAGACAUACCAUAUGGACAAUAAAGUAUGGACAUACCAUAUGGACAAUAAAGUAUGGACAUACCAUAUGGACAUACCGUAUGGAAUAUAAAGUAUGGACAUACCGUAUGAAAAAUAAAGUAUGGACAUACCGUAUGAAAAAUAAAGUAUGGACAUACCAUAUGAAAAAUAAAGUAUGGACAUACCAUAUGAAAAAUAAAGUAUGGACAUACCAUAUGGAAAAUAAAGUAUGGACAUACCAUAUGGAAAAUAAAGUAUGGACAUACCAUAUGGAAAAUAAAGUAUGGACAUACCAUAUGGACAAUAAAGUAUGGACAUACCAUAUGGACAUACCGUAUGGAAUAUAAAGUAUGGACAUACCGUAUGAAAAAUAAAGUAUGGACAUAC